AUUGAACGCUGGCGGCAGGCCUAACACAUGCAAGUCGAACGGUAACAGGAAGAAGCUUGCUUCUUUGCUGACGAGUGGCGGACGGGUGAGUAAUGUCCGGGAAACUGCCUGAUGGAGGGGGAUAACUACUGGAAACGGUAGCUAAUACCGCAUAACGUCGCAAGACCAAAAAGGGGGACCUUCGGGCCUCUUGCCAUCGGAUGUGCCCAGAUGGGAUUAGCUAGUAGGUGGGGUAACGGCUCACCUAGGCGACGAUCCCUAGCUGGUCUGAGAGGAUGACCAGCCACACUGGAACUGAGACACGGUCCAGACUCCUACGGGAGGCAGCAGUGGGGAAUAUUGCACAAUGGGCGCAAGCCUGAUGCAGCCAUGCCGCGUGUAUGAAGAAGGCCUUCGGGUUGUAAAGUACUUUCAGCGGGGAGGAAGGGAGUAAAGUUAAUACCUUUGCUCAUUGACGUUACCCGCAGAAGAAGCACCGGCUAACUCCGUG
This 490-nucleotide ribosomal RNA is filed under the name uncultured bacterium. Its description in RNAcentral is "partial 16S ribosomal RNA". It matches the Rfam family "Bacterial small subunit ribosomal RNA", at positions 30 to 507 of the family's 1533-position model. The record is from RNAcentral.